Long non-coding RNA from Lepidothrix coronata (blue-crowned manakin), 4142 nucleotides. RefSeq lists it as uncharacterized. The record is from RefSeq and is a predicted model, not a curated record. Lineage: Eukaryota; Metazoa; Chordata; Aves; Passeriformes; Pipridae. The transcript is spliced from 5 exons.
AGCGGGGCCGCCCUCCCUCCUCCCCGCGCCCCUCGCGCGGCGCCCCCUUACUCGAUGAAGAAGACGCGCCCGUCCCUGCAGACGCCGUAGGACCAGUGCUCAGAUAACCAAAAUAAAUAAUCAGAAGAAAGUAGGAGGCAGGAAAAACAACAUCAUUGAGAAGAAAGAGGACUUUGCUCAAUUUCACACCAGUUUCAGACAUCAUGCCGGUAUGGUGCAUCAGGAUGACCUUGUGUAGACCUCCCUUUUUGGCCACUGUUGGAGAAGAGGACACUAUACUAGUGUCAUCUUCUAACAACCAGGAAUGGUUGUUAUUGUGAGACACAUUGCAGGCUAGCUUCAGAAGCUGUGAGCUCAGAAAGCUCUUGAGCAAGAUGUUAUUUACAUAUGUAACUCCUGUUCUUGAAAUGAAAGAGAUAGUGGUCAUCUAGUGCAGCCUCCUGCAGAGUCAGCAUUGAAUUUAGACCAGGUGGCUCAGGCCUUUGUCCAGGCUCUGGUUCCAGUCCUCCCUGGCUGAUCUCGGCCACUUUUCUAUUACAUAUCAUUCGUUGCUCUCUAGAGGCACUGUGUGGAAGAAACCAUUUGAGGACGCUGUAAGCCUGGCAGCACGGAGAAGCCCUCAGUUCUUCAAUAUUGAUAUACCUGCAGCUGUCAACAUUUGGUUUGUUUUAAAGCAGAGACUUGAAGUCAUUUCCAUAUUUAUGAACACAAACAGGCUCACUGUCAUCCCAUGGCUAUGGACACCUGAGUAUGAAGAAGAUCCUUUUUUAAGGAACAGGACGAAUGGAAAGACAGACAUUACUGACCUCUGAGACUAAAAACUUCAAAAUUUUAAAUCAAACUGUUCAAUUCUCUAAUGUUUCCUCACAAAUUUUGUUUUUUAUUUCCUUCUCCAGCGUGAGAUACCUCACUUCUUUAUUCCCAUCAAAGCUUUUUUUCCCCCAGCUUUGAGUCCAUGACUGUUAUUACCCCUUUUUUCCAGCCCCUCUGGCAACUGCCAUUACCAUAUUUGCCCCCUUUUUUUGGAAUAUUUUACAUACCACAUUCAAGGCAAGCAGAAUGUCACAUAUUCCCAACCAUAUUCACUAAGACAUUUUUUCUAAAGAAAUUAAAGACCCCUGAAUUCACUAUCCAGUCUUCUCCUGAAGUUUGUUCUUCAUUUGCUCUGCAAGACCCAAAACUUCACCCCUGAUUCCCCUUAAUAGUAAUACAAACUAACACGUUCAACAGAAUGUUUUCAAAUUUGAAUGUGUCAAAGCCUUUGAUGAAGCAGAUUUUUACUUCAUUUUUCUUAAUAAACCCAUAAAUAGCUUGCUGCUGCUCGGUAGGUCACUUAACACAUGUCUAGGCAUACUAAUAGCAAUCCCCAAACAAGACUCCAGACAAGAUUCAAUUUUAGCAUCUUCUGCCCUAUCUUUCCAGAGAUGUUACUUUCUCAGCAUGCUUCUAACUCACCAAGGUGUCAGCCCUCUUCCUAAAUAAGCUUUUGCCAGGCAGAACAAUCUCUUCUGGCUGUGGUCUCCCAGUUCCUCUUUCAAACACCUUUGCAGGAGAAUCUGCUUGGCUCCAGAAGGAGAUAACUGAGAGUUAACCAUCCUCCUUGAUUUUUCUGGUAACAUGAAGUGUACAUACCUCAUCACAGCUUUUCAGUAUCCGACUUCCUUCCGGUUUCUUCCUACUUUCUUGUACAAUCCUAGAAAGUGCGCCUUCUUGACAAUCCCCCACAUCUCUUCUUGCCUCGUCCUAUGCCGGGCUCAGGUCAUUCCGUGGUUUUACAGUCUCCUGCUACAUACCUGUAUCCCUUCCACUCCUGGCUUCAAUGAUUUGCAACAGCAAUCAGUCAGUUUGCAAAGGCAAUGCAAUAAACCAUCUGUAUGUGAGCAUGGCAUAACCAGUAGCUAUAGUACAGGAAAGCACACUUUAAACAAAAAAUGAAAAACAAACAAAAAAAUAUGAGCGAUAUCGCUCAUCUUUUCCUCCAUCCCCAAAUAUUGCAUGGCUCCAAAAAUAUCCUCUUGUGUUCCUUCACCUAAUUACAUCUUCCCCCUAGCCCAAAAGAGAGUGAGAUACAAAUAAAACUUUAUUUUGCUUGGUUGAAGGAGGAAAAAUAAAAAAAUAAUAACAUACAACAAAACUAGAAAGAAAAGCUUGUCUCUUUCCAGAAGAGAAGAAAAAAUAAAUCUGUAAAUUGCAAAUCCAGGACAGGCAAAAUUGUCACUAUCCCUGUUCUGCCUUAUUUGCUGAUACAGGAUCAGCCUUAGGACCCUUGUGGGCUGUGAAAUUAAUUUCCAUUGUUCCUUUUUUAUUGUCUUGUUUCCUCAGUAAUCUCCCCUGGCUGCAAUGAACCAUCAGCAUGACCACUGUCUCUCAGUUCAAUCUCACAUGUAAGGGGACUGCAUAGUAUUUAUUCUUACUCCUCAAAAAGAUGGAUGGGAUGCAGAUGUGAGGCUCACACUUUUGAGUUACAAAUGGGUCUUCAGGGCAGCAUUGCCAAAGGCUUCAUCCAGGGCUGAGGCAUCAUUGACUGACUGCCCCAAUCCCCAAAUCCUGAGCAUGGGGGUGGAUUCACAGGGCCUUGGCACCGAGCAUGGGAGCCAGCCCUGGGGAGGAGAAUUCUGAGGAGCCUCCCUGCUGUGCUGGACACACACACAGCCAGCCCCUGUAAUGCAGCUCCCACCUGAGGCAGCUCUGUGGGUGCAGAUCGCCAGGGAUCCAACUGGGAGCAGUUUGGGAAGUUAGCAAGGGUUGGACAUUUUCCCCAGCAUGGUGCUGUGCUGUCUACAGAGAUCACUUCAGACCCUGCAGCAGUAAGGCCAAGUGUUGGUACUUGUGACACAUCUCACUGCUACACAGAGCUGGAGAGCAACUUCUAAUAAUGCAGAAUAGCAUGAGGAACUUUUAAAAUACAGAUAUGAAAAGAACCUUCUGCAAGUUCUUGAGAAGAGCUCUUGAAUCUGAGUGGACUGAGUCAAGGUAUUAUAGAAAAUAUGGGGGUUUUUUAACCAUUCCUCUAGAGCCUGUGUAGGUGGACUUCCACAGAAAAGACCAAUAUAGACUCAGGGCCUCAGCUUACUUUAGCACUAAAAAGGUCAGCAGGGUGCAAAACAUUGUUCAGUAAAUUAUAGCACUUAUACCCGUGUCACACAUUUUCAUUCCUGCUUUUUGAAAUAUGCAUGUCAAAAUAGAUAAACAAUACAGACUCAGUUCAUACCCCAGAAAAUUAUUUUAUAUAAAUUAAAAGAAACGAACUUUGUUUACUGCAGUAUUACCUUCCAAAAAUUAUUUUUUCUUAUUUGACACUUCCUUCCUUGAGGGAGUAGAACUAUUCCAUAUAUCUCUUAAAUGCAUACAAAUUUGUUAAUGUUCUCAAUAAAACCCACCUGAAAUAGAUUUCCUUCUAAUCAGUGAAGUAAGUAGCCAUGCAAUAAUUAUUAUUAUGCCUGAUUCAAUUUUAUACAUUGACAUCUCUCCAUUGUUAUUGAUUAAUGGUUAAAACUCUCUAAGGUUGUUAUAAAACACUGUUAUAAAUAACUUUUAUUAUUUAGAUACAUAAUAAAUGUGAUCUCCACAAAUGAUGAAUUAUAUCCCACUCCUUAAUUACAGAGUCUUCUGAAAUCUAAUUUAAAUAGUAGCUAAGCAGAUUAAAUUCAAAAACAAGAACAAUAGCAAGGCAGUUGGCAAAAUGAUAAAUGUAUGGGGUUCUUUUCUCAGCACUGUAUAGUUUUUCCACAGACUGUUUUGUAAAGUAUAAUCUUUCUCAAUAUCUUAUUAGACCACUGUAAUCUGGAUUUACAUAUUGAUUCAUUCCGUUUCAAUGUCAAUCAAAACAUGAAAAUUUAAUAAAAAACAACUCUAAUUGUUCCUCAGAGACUUAGCAAUAAUUACUCACAUGCCAUCUCUCAGUGAAGGAGAUGUCUUUAACAUGCUCUGUUUUCCAAGCAUAACAAUUGUACGUUUCUUUUGGGCACUGUGUACUUCUCAAAUCAGCAUUUCACUCACCAAGAUGUUGAAGGCUGCCUUAACAACAUAUCACACAGGGGCUACACUUGAUAAAAUUGAAACUGUAUUCUGUCAACAAUAAUUAUGUGGGUGUUUUGCUCAUUUCCUGCUAUAGCUGUCCCAUGGCAACAGAGUAAAAGCAG